GACGUAGGGGGCGAGCGUUGUCCGGAAUUACUGGGCGUAAGGGCGCGUAGGCGGCCGUUCAAGUCAGGUGUAAAUACCCCGGGCUCAACCCGGGGAUAGCACUUGAAACUGGGCGGCUAGAGGGCAGGAGAGGGGAGUGGAAUUCCCGGGUGUAGCGGUGAAAUGCGUAGAUAUCGGGAGGAAUACCCAGUGGCGAAGGCGACUCUCUGGACUGACCCUGACGCUGAGGCGCGAAAGCGUGGGGAGCAAACAGGAUUUAGAUACCCCCCGUAGU
This 274-nucleotide ribosomal RNA is filed under the name uncultured bacterium. RNAcentral's name for it is "partial 16S ribosomal RNA". It matches the Rfam family "Bacterial small subunit ribosomal RNA", at positions 524 to 794 of the family's 1533-position model. The record is from RNAcentral.